This is a long non-coding RNA of Lonchura striata (white-rumped munia), 1982 nucleotides long. RefSeq lists it as uncharacterized. NCBI's taxonomy places the organism in Eukaryota, Metazoa, Chordata, Aves, Passeriformes, Estrildidae. The record is from RefSeq and is a predicted model, not a curated record.
UCCCUGCCGGGCUCGGGUCCCUGCCGGGCUCGGGUCCCUGCCGGGCUCGGGUCCCUGCCGGGCUCGCCCUGCCCGGGCUGCCGGCCGCACGCAGCCCCGGAGCCGCAGGACGCGGCCGGCGCAGAAAACAAGCAAUCCCAAAGUGGCAGCUGGCUGAGCCUUCCCUGCCCCUUGAUGAAGAAGGCAGCACAUUGCUGAGCUCAGCUCCUGGGAAGAAGCUGCCCUGUGCUGGAGACUUGUGCCACAGGCUGCAGUUCCUGCUCUCCCUGCCUCCAAACCCACUGCUGAGCCUGCCCAUGCCUGCAGCACCCGAGGCAGAGCUGGCUCCUGGAUGCUGACAGGGCAGCCCUAGAUCUGCUUCUCCAGGAAUCCUGAGAACACCUCCCCAGUCCCAAUGAGGCCCAAGCUGAGGGAGGCUCCUGGAGCUGCACUUUUGGCCUCAGCAGAUUAUGAGAACUUUGCUGAUGUGAACUCCACCAGGGACACGGAGAGCGAGCAGCUGGAGGGGUCCCUCUCGUCCACCAUCGCCCUCAUCGUCGUGCUGGUCAUCCUCUUCUCCCUGGUGAUGACAUCCCUCAUCACCUACUGCUUCCACAAGUGGAAACUCAGAGGGAAAAGACUGCAGAAAGCACAAGAGGAGUAUCAGAGAGACCAAGAAAAGAGCGUUUGCCAAAGCACACCUGGACUUGUUUCAUAAAAAGAGAAAUCCAGGAUCCACCAUGAAGUACUCUUGAAUUACCUGAAAAUCAUGAGAGAACUGCAAAUUUGAAAUUUCCAAGCAGAUACAGCCUUGUUUUAUCUCAUUUCUAAGAGUUGUUAGCAGUUUGGAGAUUUCCUACCGCUUUAUUAUACAUAUAUAUAUAUAUAUAUAUUUAUACAUUUAGUCUCAUUUGUGCAAAGUAAAACCAAUGCAAUUAUGUAUUUUUAAUCUCUUCUGUCAUUUUAAUCCUCGCUGGGCAAACUGUGGCAGUGCCAGUGAGGGUGGGCAGGCCCUGGCACAGAUUCCCAGAGCAGCUGGGGCUGCCCCUGGAUCCCUGGCAGUGCCCAAGGCCAGGCUGGACACUGGGAGGUGUCCCUGCCAUGGCAGGGCUGGAAUGGGGGGAGUUUUUAGCUCCAUUCCAACCCUACCCCCAAUUUUCAGUGUGUUACUGAACCAGUACAUUUCAACCUGCUGCUUUCACUCUUUCCCAGCCCCGCUGGAAGGUGAAGAGGCAGAUUUGGGGUGUCCCAGAGCAGCUCAGCUGUCCAAAGCAGGGCUGCAGGGGCUGCAGUGAGCGGGUCCCAGCUGCUCCUGAGCCACACUUCAGUGACAUCUCAGUGCUGCCUCCACACCAGGGUUGUGCUGAGAGCUGCUCCUGCCAUUCCCACGAGCGGAUUAAGGACAUCCAGUGUCAGUGGAACUCAAAUUCCUAAGGGAAGAGACAGCAUAAACUCCUUUUUUAAAUUAGGCAUCAAACCCUUUUUAAACCACCCAUACCAAUGAGUGUUUCUAUUUCCAUAGCCUGGCCUGUGAUGUCACAGAGAAAUGACAGAUUUCUUGUGAGUAGCACAUCUAAGUCAUCUUUUCUAACCAAGUGAUGGAUGUAAUAUUAAUAAAUGUCAUUGUUUUAUAAAGUAAAAACUAUGUGAAGUUGCCACCAGCCCCCUGCUCAAGUCUACAGCUUGCUUGCAAUUACCAGUACUGCUGUAUGUAUUUUUAAACAAGCUAUAAUACUGUGAUGAUGCUGUAAACUUACCUCUGUAGGAAAAAAAAUGUUCUAUUUCAAAAUGUCAGGAUGAAGGAUGUAAAUGUUCUGAAAGUGCUAUCAACAACAACAACGAAAAAAGAAUUUUCACAGAAUAUUCUAAAGGAUUCUGUUACGUGCUACAAAUUUAUUUUACAAGGGUAUUUAUGGAUCAUACAGCCUAGUCUGUGAAAGCAGUACUAUUUUAUUACAGAAUAAAUAAAUGAAUAAAUAAGCAGUGAAUAUCCAUGCCCAGAA